AUUGAACGCUGGCGGCAUGCCUUACACAUGCAAGUCGAGCGGCAGCGCGGGGGCAACCCUGGCGGCGAGCGGCGGACGGGUGAGUAAUACAUCGGAACGUGUCCUUUCGUGGGGGAUAACCAGUCGAAAGACUGGCUAAUACCGCAUGAGAUCUCACGAUGAAAGCGAGGGGACCCGGGGUAACGUUCGGCCUCGCGCGAUUGGAGCGGCCGAUGUCGGAUUAGCUAG
RNAcentral lists this ribosomal RNA (228 nucleotides) under uncultured bacterium. RNAcentral describes it as "partial 16S ribosomal RNA". It matches the Rfam family "Bacterial small subunit ribosomal RNA", at positions 30 to 248 of the family's 1533-position model. The record is from RNAcentral.